AUUUAAGGCGAAGUGUACGUAAUUAAACUACACAAUGGAUUUUUUUUUAAAUUUUACAUGUAGAUUCUGCUUGUAAAAAUAAAUCGGAAAAUAAAAUAAAAAAGGGGGUAACCGUUUUCGUUUUUGAGAUACGAGCUGUUGAAGUUAACAGCAUCAUACACCAAAAUUACAAAGGAUAUAGGGAAAAUCGUGAAAUUCGGCAGGAAUUGUUACAUUUCCAAGAUUUUCUAUUAUAUUAGACAAUCGAUUUUUUUAAAAAUUUAUGAGACGAUUCUAAAAUGUCUGAGGAAUCGAUUGGUGCAAAGAAAGUCCUUAGCAACCGUGCUACUUUUCAAGCUAUACCCUGUUAAAGUUGAAUCUUGAGUGUAAAAAAACAAAAAACAACGACAACGUUAUUGACGUCGCCGCAACAGUUACGACGCAUCAUAUAGUUCUAUACUUGUAUGAAAUAUAUACCGUUUUGUUGGAGCUCGUGUUGCUCGGUCUUUAGUUCUUUAUGUUACGUUUUGUGUACUAUUGUAUUGUAUUUGUCUAUUAUAUUCGGGUGCGUGCGGAGAUCGCCAACUAGAAAACGGUUGACAUUUUCUUCUUUAUGAACAAGAACUAUUUUCGACCUUGGUGCCUUAUUUUUUUUGUUAAAAUCUAAACACUGCGACGUGUUUUCAAAAUCUUUGUUCCCAUAAAACUUCAUUUCAUCAAGGUCUCUUCUCAGAAUAUCAGCCAUCUGUCUAGCACAGGAUAACAAAUCAAUAUUUAAGUAAAUUUAAGCUGUGUGGUAAUUCUUAGUACAUUUGGGUAAAUUAAUCUUAUCUUUGUGCCGCAUAAGCAUCUCUAUAAUUCAACACAUCCCUGAGCCACGACAUUAUAUAUUUUAUGCAUUGCAUGCGCUUCUUUGUAUCACAAUCCAGACCGGCUAGUAACCGUUUUAUAACUUUACACGUCUGAAGACGAAUAUUUGCGUGAAACAUUUUUGUAUGAUUUUUAUUUCUGGAACAGUCCUUUUCCGAAAGUCGGGCUGGACCUUUACUUUUACAAAAUGUAUGUGCAUUCGGGAUUUACACAAAUUGUAACCCGAAUAAUUCAGUCGUAUUAUUCAGCUGAUGUACGACUGCUACAUUGCUCUUGUGGGAGAAAAUCGGACAUGGGAAGGGCUUGAAUUAUUCGAGUUACUCAAAUUGAAACUCGGGAAUAUAUUUCUAGCUGUUCGGAAUUCGCGGAAACAAAUGAUUGUAUUUUGUCAUUACGGUAUUGAAUCAAUAGAGAUACCAAUUAUUUCUUUUAACAAAUUCGAAUACCAGUCAGUUUAUAGGACUUCAGUUUGAAAUAGGGGCGGCAAUUCAUUCAUUUUAUCCAAUCAAUUGGAAGGGGGAGGUCAACAUUGAUAGUCAAAAAGCCUUGAAAUAUUCGAUAAAAAACGUUGAAUGUAAAUUAUAUGAACUCCAAAGCCUCAUAUUAUAAGACUAGUAAACCACAGGCUUCUCAAUAUUUGUAUGAUCAUGAACUAGGUGAAAACCUGGAGCUGACCGAGUGCGAGAUCCUCAUGGAUAAUCAUCGAGGUCGUUAAACACCCCUUGCAGUAAACUUUGGUUAAAUUAAAAAAAAAAAUUGAAAUGUAAUAGUCUGAGCACAUUUCACCUCUCAUUCCACUAAAUAUUAAUUUGCAGUUACAAGUAUCACAAAACUUCCCUGACCUCUUUUCUUUAACCAUAAUAGAAGGAGGAGGGAAGGAGGGAUCCAGAUCCCGAAAUCCCGAGCUUAAAAACACGAAAUCCUGAGGUCCCGAAUUUAAAAAAAAUUAAAUCCCGACUACCCGAAAUUCGAAAAUAGAAUUCCCGUAUCCCAAAAGGGUCAAUCCCGAAAUCCCGAGCUUAAAAACACCAGAUCCCGGAGUUCCGAUUAAGGUCCUAACCCUCCCCUCCCCC
RNAcentral lists this long non-coding RNA (1922 nucleotides) under Mytilus galloprovincialis (Mediterranean mussel). The record is from RNAcentral. Lineage: Eukaryota; Metazoa; Mollusca; Bivalvia; Mytilida; Mytilidae.